RNAcentral lists this long non-coding RNA (614 nucleotides) under Chinchilla lanigera (long-tailed chinchilla). RNAcentral's name for it is "lncRNA (ENSCLAG00000023097.1)". Lineage: Eukaryota; Metazoa; Chordata; Mammalia; Rodentia; Chinchillidae. The record is from RNAcentral.
CUUCCGGCAGAGAGGAGUGACAGGCUCUGGGGCACCGGCCGUGUGUCAGGGCACUAUCAGCUUUCUGCUCCAAGGGUCGCGCUCUCAGAGCAUUUGUUGAAGGACUCGCAGCCACAUUUGGCCCUGGAAGCUUAUGCUGUGCUUUUUCAAGAGCGGAGAGGAAAGAAGGCCCGACUAGGGAAUGCAGCAGAGUGUGCCGGGUAAACACUGGAGGCUGCAGAAUGUUCUGGAUCUCCACUUUGCUAAAAUAGGAGCCAGUCAGGAAAGUGGCAGCUGAAUGGUGCAAAAGUGGAUUUAUUUACAUUAAAUAAUACCCUGCCCACUCCCCGGAACCUGGGAUCUGGCCCCUCCUCUGAGUCAGAACGGGAGACUGCGCUCCGUGCAUCGGUAGAAAUUUACUUUCUACGCUGCUUUGCGGUGUUCGGGAUUUGUGUUGGCUGGGAGCAUAAAUCAUUUUUCAAAACGAAUUUUAGUGGAAAUGUUAUUCUUUCCAAUUAAUUAGGGUUUGGAGGCUGAUGUUAUUUGCGCUCAACAAAAAUAUCCAGUCUGCUCAUGAACUAAAAAUGGUUUAAAACUACGGAAGAAGGUGUCUUCCAGCUGAAGGUGUAUUUGGG